AUUGAACGCUGGCGGCAUGCCUUACACAUGCAAGUCGAACGGUAACGCGGGGCAACCUGGCGACGAGUGGCGAACGGGUGAGUAAUGCAUCGGAACGUGCCCAGUAGUGGGGGAUAGCCCGGCGAAAGCCGGAUUAAUACCGCAUACGACCUACGGGUGAAAGCGGGGGAUCGCAAGACCUCGCGCUAGUGGAGCGGCCGAUGUCAGAUUAGGUUGUUGGUGGGGUAAAAGCCCACCAAGCCGACGAUCUGUAGCUGGUCUGAGAGGACGACCAGCCACACUGGGACUGAGACACGGCCCAGACUCCUACGGGAGGCAGCAGUGGGGAAUUUUGGACAAUGGGCGCAAGCCUGAUCCAGCCAUGCCGCGUG
This 371-nucleotide ribosomal RNA is filed under the name uncultured bacterium. RNAcentral's name for it is "bacterial SSU rRNA". It matches the Rfam family "Bacterial small subunit ribosomal RNA", at positions 29 to 403 of the family's 1533-position model. The record is from RNAcentral.